Molecule: ribosomal RNA, 403 nt
Filed under: bacterium
Lineage: Bacteria
Description: partial 16S ribosomal RNA
Rfam family: Bacterial small subunit ribosomal RNA
Source: RNAcentral
UGGGGAAUAUUGCACAAUGGAGGGAACUCUGAUGCAGCGACGCCGCGUGAACGAAGAAGGCUUUCGCGUCGUAAAGUUCUUUUAUAUGGGAAGAUAAUGACGGUACCAUAAGAAAAAGCCCCGGCUAACUACGUGCCAGCAGCCGCGGUAAUACGUAGGGGGCUAGCGUUGUCCGGAAUCACUGGGCGUAAAGGGUUCGCAGGCGGAAAUGCAAGUCAGGUGUAAAAGGCGGUAGCUUAACUACUGUAAGCAUUUGAAACUGCAUAUCUUGAGAAGAGUAGAGGUAAGUGGAAUUUUUAGUGUAGCGGUGAAAUGCGUAGAUAUUAAAAAGAAUACCGGUGGCGAAGGCGACUUACUGGGCUCAUUCUGACGCUGAGGAACGAAAGCGUGGGUAGCAAACAGG